RNAcentral lists this ribosomal RNA (468 nucleotides) under uncultured bacterium. Its description in RNAcentral is "partial 16S ribosomal RNA". It matches the Rfam family "Bacterial small subunit ribosomal RNA", at positions 28 to 507 of the family's 1533-position model. The record is from RNAcentral.
GACGAACGCUGGCGGCGUGCUUAACACAUGCAAGUCGAACGGAAAGGCCCUGCUUUUGUGGGGUGCUCGAGUGGCGAACGGGUGAGUAACACGUGAGUAACCUGCCCUUGUCUUUGGGAUAACUUCAGGAAACUGGGGCUAAUACCGGAUAGGAGCUCCUGCUGCAUGGUGGGGGUUGGAAAGUUUCGGCGGUUGGGGAUGGACUCGCGGCUUAUCAGCUUGUUGGUGGGGUAGUGGCUUACCAAGGCUUUGACGGGUAGCCGGCCUGAGAGGGUGACCGGCCACAUUGGGACUGAGAUACGGCCCAGACUCCUACGGGAGGCAGCAGUGGGGAAUAUUGCACAAUGGGAGGAAGCCUGAUGCAGCAACGCCGCGUGCGGGAUGACGGCCUUCGGGUAGUAAACCGCUUUCGCCUGUGACGAAGCGUGAGUGACGGUAAUGGGUAAAGAAGCACCGGCUAACUACGUG